Molecule: ribosomal RNA, 775 nt
Filed under: uncultured Neocallimastigales
Lineage: Eukaryota; Fungi; Neocallimastigomycota; Neocallimastigomycetes; Neocallimastigales
Description: partial large subunit ribosomal RNA
Rfam family: Eukaryotic large subunit ribosomal RNA
Source: RNAcentral
UAUGUGAUCGUCUCUCGCAUAUCAAUAAGCGGAGGAAAAGAAACUAACAAGGAUUCCCCUAGUAACGGCGAGUGAAGGCGGGAAGAGCUCAAAUUUGAAAUCUUAAAGGGUUUCCCUUUACGAAUUGUAGUCUAAAGAAGUGUUUUCUGUUGAGGUCUUGGUAAAAGUUCUUUGGAAUAGGACAUCAUAGAGGGUGAGAAUCCCGUAUUUGACCUUUACUUUCAACUUUGUGAUACACUUUCAAAGAGUCGGAUUGUUUGGGAAUGCAGUCCAAAAUGGGUGGUAAAUUUCAUCUAAAGCUAAAUAUUGGCGAGAGACCGAUAGCGAACAAGUACCGUGAGGGAAAGAUGAAAAGAACUUUGAAAAGAGAGUUAAACAGUACGUGAAAUUGUCAAAAGGGAAGCGUUUGACACCAGUGUUGUUUUUCUGAAAAUCAAUUAAAGAACUGUUUAUGCUAAGCUGUUUAGACUUUAUCAGCUAUCUGUUUAGUUUUGAGCUUUUCUUUAAUGCACUUUUCAGUUAACAAGUCAACAUCAAUUUCUUUUGCUGUAAAAAAGCUUGAGGAAGGUGGCUUGAGAUUCGUCUUAAGUGUUUAUAGCCUCUUGCCUAUGCAGUCGGAGAGAUUGAGGUCUGCAGCGUAGAUCCUUCGGGGCUAAAUGCAUUUGUGCUAAGUUAUAGCAUUUUAUAGACAACUUGUUGACUAUGAUUUGUCUUGUAGCUUACUCGCUUAUGUUAUUUUACCUACGCUUAGGAUGUUGAGUAGCGACAUACGCAC